CGCGGCGUGGAGCAGUGGUAGCUCGUCAGGCUCAUAUCCUGAAGGUCGCAGGUUCGAAUCCUGCCGCCGCUA
Molecule: transfer RNA, 72 nt
Filed under: Salinibacter sp. 10B
Lineage: Bacteria; Pseudomonadati; Rhodothermota; Rhodothermia; Rhodothermales; Salinibacteraceae
Description: tRNA-Met
Rfam family: tRNA
About the family: Transfer RNA (tRNA) molecules are approximately 80 nucleotides in length. Their secondary structure includes four short double-helical elements and three loops (D, anti-codon, and T loops).
Source: RNAcentral